Pocillopora verrucosa is the source of this 490-nucleotide non-coding RNA. Lineage: Eukaryota; Metazoa; Cnidaria; Anthozoa; Scleractinia; Pocilloporidae. The record is from RefSeq and is a predicted model, not a curated record.
AAUCUAACACAAACGACACCAAGAUUAUUCUGACAGAUGGUGUCAACUUUGCGUGGGAAAAAGUACAAGGAGCAAGUAACUAUCUCGUCAGAUUACUCGAGAAUAAAUUCUUGAAGGAGAAUUCUCUUCUUGGGUGUGGUACCAUUACUUCUGUGGAGAUUCCUUACAGCAGUUUACCCUUUAAGAGUGCUACCGAAAAGAGCAAAAAGAGACAACUUGAAGUAGUUAUCGAAGUGUGGGCUUAUGGCAACGCAAAGAUUAUUGGGGAUGGAAUUCGUUACACUAAUGUGGAAAUCCGCGCAGAUGCAACAACUUCUACAGUUUCCUUGAUUAUUCUCUUGUUAUCGUUUGUGAUUUACAACCUUCAAUAGUCGGUGAGAAGGAAAGGAAUUCCUUUUUAAGAGUCACUCAAAGGUGUUGAAAAAGUUUUGUCAAACCGGACGUCUUGUGUUAUGUUAGCUUCCUUUUAGUGAAACACGACCUAAGUAAC